GUGGUCGGUGUACAGGUGGUGCAUGGCUGUCGUCAGCUCGUGUCGUGAGAUGUUGGGUUAAGUCCCGCAACGAGCGCAACCCUUGUCUUAUGUUGCCAGCACGUAAUGGUGGGGACUCGUAAGAGACUGCCGGGGUCAACUCGGAGGAAGGUGGGGACGACGUCAAGUCAUCAUGCCCCUUAUGUCCAGGGCUUCACACAUGCUACAAUGGCCAGUACAGAGGGCUGCGAGACCGUGAGGUGGAGCGAAUCCCUUAAAGCUGGUCUCAGUUCGGAUCGGGGUCUGCAACUCGACCCCGUGAAGUCGGAGUCGCUAGUAAUCGCAGAUCAGCAACGCUGCGGUGAAUACGUUCCCGGGCCUU
RNAcentral lists this ribosomal RNA (361 nucleotides) under uncultured Rhodococcus sp. RNAcentral describes it as "bacterial SSU rRNA". It matches the Rfam family "Bacterial small subunit ribosomal RNA", at positions 1023 to 1382 of the family's 1533-position model. The record is from RNAcentral. Lineage: Bacteria; Bacillati; Actinomycetota; Actinomycetes; Mycobacteriales; Nocardiaceae.